RNAcentral lists this long non-coding RNA (2456 nucleotides) under Elaeis guineensis (African oil palm). Its description in RNAcentral is "long non-coding RNA (EGUI_LNC078832)". Lineage: Eukaryota; Viridiplantae; Streptophyta; Magnoliopsida; Arecales; Arecaceae. The record is from RNAcentral.
UUUCCUCUCUCUCUCUCUCUCUUGCUAACAAUGGUGUUAACUUAUCACUAUAAGUCAAGAUCGAUGGUGAUGCGAUUAUUAUUAUCCUUUGUUUCCAUAUAUCUUGUUUGCUGUUGAUGGAAAUCCUUUCAAGAAGAUGUUUGCUGUUGAAGGACUAUUUAGGCACUUGUUGCUAGACGGUGUUCACAUUAGAGAACAUUAUCCAAAAAAAUGCAUAAUUAAUGAGAAAAAAUUGGGUAGAACUUGACAUAUGUUUCAUAGGUUUUCUUGAAAUGAAAGAUGAAGCGAGGAUAAAGAACAUAAGCCUGUUUGCUUUGUUUUAAGUGCAAUGUGUGGGAGGUGAUUGUACCAAAGUGACCUUGGUUCCCUUGGGCUGAAGCAAUGUUGGGCCAUUUCUUCCAUUUGGGGGCCAUAUUGACUUUAAGUGCUUAGAGGCAACCAAAGAAGCCUUCAAUUUGAUUUAAGUGUUGCAGAAGAGAACUCAGCAGGUCGAUUAGGUAGAAUUCAAUUAUUAUUAUUAUUAUUAUCUUUCAUGUGAUGAUUCAUUACUUUACUGGUUGAUUUUUUUUGUUCAGAAAUUAUUCUGACAUCUCCAAAAUAAAAUUUAGAAAAUUAUAAAAUAAUAUAAGUUGUUAUGCAAUAGUUGGAACCAAAGAUCGUCAACUCGGAAUCAGACCCCGUGCUGGUCGAUCGGCGAUAUGAGUUGGUACGCCCCUCUAUCGGAUCAUAGCGGGACUUGAAUCAACACGAAAACGAGGGAUGAAUCGGGGAGGGAGAGAGAGGGGGGAGGGAGGGAGGGAGGGUAGGAAAAAGAGGUUGGUGGAGACAUCGACAAUGGGUGCCGGAGGGUCGUCAAGGCCUCCCGGGUUUAGUGGCCUUCUAUGAGAGAAAAUGCGAGGAGAGAGAGAUAGAGAGGGGGGAAGGGAGAGAAAAAGAGAGAGUGGAAGGUGGAGGGACGCUGUCGGAGGGAUGUCGGGUGGCUAUCGUGUCUGUCGGAUGGCCCAAAAUUGUCUCACCACAGUCGUGGCUUCGAAGUAGGGGUUGGCCCCUAUUUCGUCAUGUUUUAUAAAAAAUACGAUUCACAGUGAAAUCGGCAAUGUGUUUUUUAGAAAACACGAUAGAAACAGAAACAAACUCCUGUUUCGAAUCCAUGGCUGUCGUGGGGUAAUUUUGGACCAUCCGGCGGCUACUGAUAGCCCUUCGACGGCCUCUGAUUGCCUUCUACUCCGUCCUCUUCUCUCCCUUCUCUCUUCUCUCUAUCUCUCUCUUCUUGCAUCUCGUGGAGGAUUGGAAGCUCCAGAGGCCUUGGCGGCCCUCCGACAACCUCGGCAGGCCACCACCGGUCCUUUCCCUUUCCUUCUCUCCUCUCCUCUCUCUCUCUCUCUCUCUUUCUCUCUUUCUGUCUUUCUUUCUCCCUUGCUCUGUCUUCGCCGACGUUCCAAAUCAAACGUCCGAACCGUAUUGGAUAGCCACCGGUACAACUCGGCAUGUCUCGAACUGUCCGAUUCAGAGUGGUUCGGUGAACCCUAGUUGGAAGUAAUUGUUAAUUCUAACUGAUCGGAUCCUUCUCCAUGGUUGAAGGAGGACUUGAUUUUCUUUUAUAUGCAUCCAACACAAUCAUAUGAAGUUGAUUAAAAAUGGUUGGUUCCUUCUUCCAUAGUUGAAGGAAGACUUGAUUUACUUUUAUAUGCAUCCAGCAUAAGCAAUAUGUAGGUAUUCUGAUCAAGUUAGAGUUAUGAUGCCAAGGGUCUACUUUUUCUGAUAAAAAACUAUAUAUGUGAUUGCUUUGUUGCUUCAAAGAGAAUGAUAACUUUAUGAAAUACGUGACAUAAUUGUCUUGGACUAGUUAAGGGAGAUGUGGUAAAGCUUUAUCUGCUGAGAAGCUUAUUAUUUGGACAAUAAAUCCCAAGUCACCUGCCCUGCAAGGGGAGUUCUUCAAUUGACCUGCUUAUAGAUACAAAAGCACAUAUAUCAGCAUCUAUCAUGUAGCCUUUUCGAAAGGUUUGGGCAAACUUGUCUAUUUAAAAUCUAUUGUGCACAGCAGGUACACUCAUUACAAAAGUGAGGGAUUCUCUCUCUGUCUCUCUCUCUCUCUCUCUCUCUCCUCCUCCCCUCCCCUCCCACCGUGUGCAAAUCACCUGCCCAAUAAGGGGACUUCUUCAAACCAACCUGCUUAUAGAUACAAAAGUACAUAUAUCUGCAUCUAUCACAUAGAGUUUAUGAAGGUUUGGGCAAAUUUGUCCAUUUAAAAUCUAUUGUGCACAGCUGGGCGCAACAGGUGCUCAUGACAAAAGUGAGGGAUUCUCUGAUCUCUCUCUCCCCACGUGCGUGCGCUCUUGCAUCUCUCUCUCUCUCUCCCCAUGUGCAUGUGCUCUUCCAUCUCUCUCUCUCUCUCUACAUACAUACAUACACACAGACACACACACACACACACACACACACACACACACACACAC